Molecule: ribosomal RNA, 434 nt
Filed under: uncultured bacterium
Lineage: Bacteria
Description: partial 16S ribosomal RNA
Rfam family: Bacterial small subunit ribosomal RNA
Source: RNAcentral
AGCGAACGCUGGCGGCAGGCUUAACACAUGCAAGUCGAACGGGCAUAGCAAUAUGUCAUUGGCAGACGGGUGAGUAACGCGUGGGAACGGACCUUUUGGUUCGGAACAACACAGGGAAACUUGUGCUAAUACCGGAUAAGCCCUUACGGGGGAAGAUGUAUCGCCGAAAGAUCGGCCCGCUUCUGAUUAGCUAGUUGGUAGGGUAAUGGCCUACCAAGGCGACGAUCAGUAGCUGGUCUGAGAGGAUGAUCAGCCACAUUGGGACUGAGACAAGGCCCAAACUCUUACGAGAGGCAGCAGUGGGGAAUAAGGGACAAUGGGUGAAAGACUGAUCCAGCCAUGCCGUGUGAGUGAUGAAGGCCCUAGGAAUGUAAAGAUCUUUUGUGCGCGAAGAUAAGGAGGGUACCGAAAGAAUAAACCCCGGCUACUUUCGU